This is a long non-coding RNA of Onychostoma macrolepis, 186 nucleotides long. RefSeq lists it as uncharacterized. The transcript has 3 exons. The record is from RefSeq and is a predicted model, not a curated record. NCBI's taxonomy places the organism in Eukaryota, Metazoa, Chordata, Actinopteri, Cypriniformes, Cyprinidae.
CUGACAGCUGCAACACUGCGUCUCUCGCUGCUGUGUUCACCGUCUUCAGGAGUAACACUUCUACAACAGAAGAGAAGCUCCAAGAUAUCUAAAUUUCUGAAGGAAGCUGCUGACAGAGAUGUGGGAAACAUAGGUUUCCCAUCCCAGUGUUACUACAGCUUGGAUCCAGCCUCACUAGUGGUGACU